CAGUAGCCACGGUAAUACGUAGGUCCCGAGCGUUGUCCGGAUUUAUUGGGCGUAAAGCGUCUGUAGGUGGCUUUUCAAGUCCGCCAUCAAAUCCCAAGGCUCAACCCUGGACAGGCGGUGGAAAAUACCAAGCUGGAGUACGGUAGGGGCAGAGGGAAUUUCCGGUGGAGCGGUGAAAUGCGUUGAGAUUGGAAAGAACACCAACGGUGAAAGCACUCUGCUGGGCCGACACUGACACUGAGAGACGAAAGCUAGGGGAGCAAAUGGGAUUAGAUACCCCCGUAGUCCCUGUCUCUUAUAC
Molecule: ribosomal RNA, 301 nt
Filed under: uncultured bacterium
Lineage: Bacteria
Description: partial 16S ribosomal RNA
Rfam family: Bacterial small subunit ribosomal RNA
Source: RNAcentral